CCGAGCCCAGGGGAGGCAGAGCAAAAAUUCUUUCGGAAGAGCUGUCAGUUGAGCGUUAGCAACAAAAACAGUUAAACUUUCAACACGGUCUAUUGGUUCCGGCACGAGAAGACGCACGAAAUCGAUAAGUAAUGUGAAUGCAGAAUUCCGUGAAUCACGAUCUUUGAACGCACAUUGCGCCCCCUGGCAUUCCGGGGGGCAUGCCUGUUCGAGCGUCAUUUCAGCCCCUCAAGCCCGGCUUGUGUGAUGGCGACCGUCCGGCACCCCCGUCUUUGGGGGUGCGGGACGCGCCCGAAAAGCAGUGGCCAGGCCGCGAUCCGGCUUCCUAGCGAUGGGCACAACCAGCGCCUCCGGACCGGCCGCCCUGGCCUCAAAUCUGUUUUU
RNAcentral lists this unclassified non-coding RNA (384 nucleotides) under Trichophyton mentagrophytes. RNAcentral describes it as "contains 16S-23S intergenic spacer region". The stretch from base 75 to 218 matches the Rfam family "5.8S ribosomal RNA". Lineage: Eukaryota; Fungi; Ascomycota; Eurotiomycetes; Onygenales; Arthrodermataceae. The record is from RNAcentral.